This 696-nucleotide long non-coding RNA is filed under the name Anas platyrhynchos platyrhynchos (common mallard). RNAcentral's name for it is "lncRNA (ENSAPLG00000017337.1)". The record is from RNAcentral. Lineage: Eukaryota; Metazoa; Chordata; Aves; Anseriformes; Anatidae.
AAGGUCAUUUGAAAAUACUGAGCUUCCUUUACUGUUUAAGUAACUGACUUGAAGUUAGUCAAGAGCAUUGCUUUGCUUCCAGUUCAUGCUGACCCUUUUUCCUUUUGCAGUCUGAACAUGACUGAGGUAAACUGAAGAUUGACUUUCCAGUUGUUGUCUAUUAUACCUCUAACAAGAGAGGGAUACAAGGCUUCUGUGUUGCUACAGAAAUUCUGGCACUGAAGAAAAGAGGACUUACCACUGCUCUGGAGUUUCUCUAGAUGGAGCUGCCUCAUGCUUCAGUGGAUUCUUCAGGAAAAACCUUAUGAAGAAUUUUAGGACUACGAUACUGUGAAAACUGACAAAGAUUGAAGCGCCUAAUGGGAAAGAUUUAGAAGGUUCAGCUACAUCAAGAAAACACAUAUCUAUAUAUUUGUCUAAUUGUAUGUGAAAGUUAUUUGAAUCCCAAUUGCUUUUCCUAAUUAAGGAUAUGAUGCUAGACUGUGUUCGUAAAGAACAGCUCUACUUUGACAUAGUAACAUAUAAAAAAUAAGGUAGACUUCUGUCCUUUUUCCAGUGAUAUUAUUGCACUUUUAUACUUUGAAGAGACUUGCUAGAAGGGCGGAGUGAUGCUUUAGUUGUGAUAUUCUUCCUCAUGAGGCUCAUGGAGGCUCAUAAGGCCCAGUCAAGAUAAUUCUGAAAAAUCACUUUUUUUUU